AUGACGUAGCAAUACAGAUGGUGGCGACCGGCGCACGGGUGAGUAACACGUAUGCAACCUACCUUCAACAGGAGAAUAACCCGUCGAAAGACGGACUAAUACUCCAUAACACAGGGAUCCCGCAUGGGAAUAUUUGUUAAAGAUUUAUCGGUUGAAGAUGGGCAUGCGCUCCAUUAGCUAGUUGGUGAGGUAACGGCUCACCAAGGCAACGAUGGAUAGGGGAACUGAGAGGUUUAUCCCCCACACUGGUACUGAGACACGGACCAGACUCC
This 272-nucleotide ribosomal RNA is filed under the name uncultured Porphyromonadaceae bacterium. Its description in RNAcentral is "partial 16S ribosomal RNA". It matches the Rfam family "Bacterial small subunit ribosomal RNA", at positions 71 to 339 of the family's 1533-position model. The record is from RNAcentral. Lineage: Bacteria; Pseudomonadati; Bacteroidota; Bacteroidia; Bacteroidales; Porphyromonadaceae.